RNAcentral lists this ribosomal RNA (2924 nucleotides) under Escherichia coli. Its description in RNAcentral is "23S ribosomal RNA". It matches the Rfam family "Bacterial large subunit ribosomal RNA". The record is from RNAcentral. Lineage: Bacteria; Pseudomonadati; Pseudomonadota; Gammaproteobacteria; Enterobacterales; Enterobacteriaceae.
GGGUUGUGAGGUUAAGCGACUAAGCGUACACGGUGGAUGCCCUGGCAGUCAGAGGCGAUGAAGGACGUGCUAAUCUGCGAUAAGCGUCGGUAAGGUGAUAUGAACCGUUAUAACCGGCGAUUUCCGAAUGGGGAAACCCAGUGUGUUUCGACACACUAUCAUUAACUGAAUCCAUAGGUUAAUGAGGCGAACCGGGGGAACUGAAACAUCUAAGUACCCCGAGGAAAAGAAAUCAACCGAGAUUCCCCCAGUAGCGGCGAGCGAACGGGGAGGAGCCCAGAGCCUGAAUCAGUGUGUGUGUUAGUGGAAGCGUCUGGAAAGGCGCGCGAUACAGGGUGACAGCCCCGUACACAAAAAUGCACAUGCUGUGAGCUCGAUGAGUAGGGCGGGACACGUGGUAUCCUGUCUGAAUAUGGGGGGACCAUCCUCCAAGGCUAAAUACUCCUGACUGACCGAUAGUGAACCAGUACCGUGAGGGAAAGGCGAAAAGAACCCCGGCGAGGGGAGUGAAAAAGAACCUGAAACCGUGUACGUACAAGCAGUGGGAGCCUCUUUUAUGGGGUGACUGCGUACCUUUUGUAUAAUGGGUCAGCGACUUAUAUUCUGUAGCAAGGUUAACCGAAUAGGGGAGCCGAAGGGAAACCGAGUCUUAACUGGGCGUUAAGUUGCAGGGUAUAGACCCGAAACCCGGUGAUCUAGCCAUGGGCAGGUUGAAGGUUGGGUAACACUAACUGGAGGACCGAACCGACUAAUGUUGAAAAAUUAGCGGAUGACUUGUGGCUGGGGGUGAAAGGCCAAUCAAACCGGGAGAUAGCUGGUUCUCCCCGAAAGCUAUUUAGGUAGCGCCUCGUGAAUUCAUCUCCGGGGGUAGAGCACUGUUUCGGCAAGGGGGUCAUCCCGACUUACCAACCCGAUGCAAACUGCGAAUACCGGAGAAUGUUAUCACGGGAGACACACGGCGGGUGCUAACGUCCGUCGUGAAGAGGGAAACAACCCAGACCGCCAGCUAAGGUCCCAAAGUCAUGGUUAAGUGGGAAACGAUGUGGGAAGGCCCAGACAGCCAGGAUGUUGGCUUAGAAGCAGCCAUCAUUUAAAGAAAGCGUAAUAGCUCACUGGUCGAGUCGGCCUGCGCGGAAGAUGUAACGGGGCUAAACCAUGCACCGAAGCUGCGGCAGCGACACUAUGUGUUGUUGGGUAGGGGAGCGUUCUGUAAGCCUGUGAAGGUGUGCUGUGAGGCAUGCUGGAGGUAUCAGAAGUGCGAAUGCUGACAUAAGUAACGAUAAAGCGGGUGAAAAGCCCGCUCGCCGGAAGACCAAGGGUUCCUGUCCAACGUUAAUCGGGGCAGGGUGAGUCGACCCCUAAGGCGAGGCCGAAAGGCGUAGUCGAUGGGAAACAGGUUAAUAUUCCUGUACUUGGUGUUACUGCGAAGGGGGGACGGAGAAGGCUAUGUUGGCCGGGCGACGGUUGUCCCGGUUUAAGCGUGUAGGCUGGUUUUCCAGGCAAAUCCGGAAAAUCAAGGCUGAGGCGUGAUGACGAGGCACUACGGUGCUGAAGCAACAAAUGCCCUGCUUCCAGGAAAAGCCUCUAAGCAUCAGGUAACAUCAAAUCGUACCCCAAACCGACACAGGUGGUCAGGUAGAGAAUACCAAGGCGCUUGAGAGAACUCGGGUGAAGGAACUAGGCAAAAUGGUGCCGUAACUUCGGGAGAAGGCACGCUGAUAUGUAGGUGAAGUCCCUCGCGGAUGGAGCUGAAAUCAGUCGAAGAUACCAGCUGGCUGCAACUGUUUAUUAAAAACACAGCACUGUGCAAACACGAAAGUGGACGUAUACGGUGUGACGCCUGCCCGGUGCCGGAAGGUUAAUUGAUGGGGUCAGCGCAAGCGAAGCUCUUGAUCGAAGCCCCGGUAAACGGCGGCCGUAACUAUAACGGUCCUAAGGUAGCGAAAUUCCUUGUCGGGUAAGUUCCGACCUGCACGAAUGGCGUAAUGAUGGCCAGGCUGUCUCCACCCGAGACUCAGUGAAAUUGAACUCGCUGUGAAGAUGCAGUGUACCCGCGGCAAGACGGAAAGACCCCGUGAACCUUUACUAUAGCUUGACACUGAACAUUGAGCCUUGAUGUGUAGGAUAGGUGGGAGGCUUUGAAGUGUGGACGCCAGUCUGCAUGGAGCCGACCUUGAAAUACCACCCUUUAAUGUUUGAUGUUCUAACGUUGACCCGUGAUCCGGGUUGCGGACAGUGUCUGGUGGGUAGUUUGACUGGGGCGGUCUCCUCCUAAAGAGUAACGGAGGAGCACGAAGGUUGGCUAAUCCUGGUCGGACAUCAGGAGGUUAGUGCAAUGGCAUAAGCCAGCUUGACUGCGAGCGUGACGGCGCGAGCAGGUGCGAAAGCAGGUCAUAGUGAUCCGGUGGUUCUGAAUGGAAGGGCCAUCGCUCAACGGAUAAAAGGUACUCCGGGGAUAACAGGCUGAUACCGCCCAAGAGUUCAUAUCGACGGCGGUGUUUGGCACCUCGAUGUCGGCUCAUCACAUCCUGGGGCUGAAGUAGGUCCCAAGGGUAUGGCUGUUCGCCAUUUAAAGUGGUACGCGAGCUGGGUUUAGAACGUCGUGAGACAGUUCGGUCCCUAUCUGCCGUGGGCGCUGGAGAACUGAGGGGGGCUGCUCCUAGUACGAGAGGACCGGAGUGGACGCAUCACUGGUGUUCGGGUUGUCAUGCCAAUGGCACUGCCCGGUAGCUAAAUGCGGAAGAGAUAAGUGCUGAAAGCAUCUAAGCACGAAACUUGCCCCGAGAUGAGUUCUCCCUGACUCCUUGAGAGUCCUGAAGGAACGUUGAAGACGACGACGUUGAUAGGCCGGGUGUGUAAGCGCAGCGAUGCGUUGAGCUAACCGGUACUAAUGAACCGUGAGGCUUAACCUUACAACGCCGAAG